RNAcentral lists this ribosomal RNA (253 nucleotides) under uncultured bacterium. RNAcentral describes it as "partial 16S ribosomal RNA". It matches the Rfam family "Bacterial small subunit ribosomal RNA", at positions 524 to 776 of the family's 1533-position model. The record is from RNAcentral.
UACGAAGGGGGCUAGCGUUGUUCGGAAUUACUGGGCGUAAAGCGCACGUAGGCGGACUUGUCAGUCAGGGGUGAAAUCCCAAGGCUUAACCUUGGAACUGCGUCGGAUACUGGAUGGCUUGAAUUCGGGAGAGGGAUGCAGAAUUCCAGGUGUAGCGGUGAAAUGCGUAGAUAUCUGGAGGAAUACCGGUGGCGAAGGCGGCAUCCUGGACCGACAUUGACGCUGAUGAGCGAAAGCUAGGGGAGCAAACGGG